UACGUAGGGUGCAAGCGUUAAUCGGAAUUACUGGGCGUAAAGCGUGCGCAGGCGGUGAUGUAAGACAGAUGUGAAAUCCCCGGGCUCAACUUGGGAACUGCAUUUGUGACUGCAUCGCUGGAGUGCGGCAGAGGGGGAUGGAAUUCCGCGUGUAGCAGUGAAAUGCGUAGAUAUGCGGAGGAACACCGAUGGCGAAGGCAAUCCCCUGGGCCUGCACUGACGCUCAUGCACGAAAGCGUGGGGAGCGAACAGG
This 253-nucleotide ribosomal RNA is filed under the name uncultured bacterium. RNAcentral's name for it is "partial 16S ribosomal RNA". It matches the Rfam family "Bacterial small subunit ribosomal RNA", at positions 524 to 776 of the family's 1533-position model. The record is from RNAcentral.